CGCGCCGACCGUUAAGGGCUCCAGAAUAAUCGACGGGUUUGCUACCCGUAGGUCGUCGGUUCAAAUCCGACCGGCCCCACCA
RNAcentral lists this transfer RNA (82 nucleotides) under Candidatus Bathyarchaeota archaeon. RNAcentral describes it as "tRNA-Ala". The record is from RNAcentral. Lineage: Archaea; Thermoproteati; Candidatus Bathyarchaeota. RNAcentral also lists the same sequence under 1 other name.